UUUGAAACAUGAUUUUCAUCUUCCCUCUCUAUCCAUGUAUGUAUUUGGCUCUCCUGCUCAACUUUUAUGCCUCCGGCCAUCCACUACUCCUCACUUAAAUUCAUAUUCUAGGUAGCCCUAAUUCUUAAUGUGUGUUUGUAAAACUACUGCUCUCCAUCCAUUAACGUGUGUUCGUUCCAAGCAAAAAAUGAGUGGGGUCGCUAAGAACAUGAAGACGACCUUCGAUGUUGAUGAAACAAUGAUGAGAGACAAAGAUGUAAAUUGAUCGUCAAAACCAAAAACCAGGUAACCCUUAUUCUUAACAUUUUAUGACAUCCGAUUUACUUUCUAACCCUAAUACGCUUCAACUUUCGUCGCAUGCGACCAAACCCCCGUCGACGACCUGAUAUCAAUUUGGUGAUUGGAAAGGAACGAAUACCAAUAGAUUUGAAAUUACCGAUGAACUAAAUUCCAAAUCUGUAAGUCUCUUACCUGUCUCAUGUUUUGUGAUUUAGAUCUCACCAUUCAGAUCAACUGGCUUUCGUUAUUUCUUGUGGUCUUUUAUUCGAUUCAGACUAACAUUAUGUCAUGUUGAGUGCUCUCACAUACAUCACCAUCAUAUCCCUAGUUAGCACGUAAAAUCCCAUUUUGGAAAUUGUCCUUCAUGGUGACCUUUUUUUGACCAGGGCUCAUGACAAAGCUACCAUUAAAAGUAAAGUCUUCUGCUACCAUGUUUUGCGUUCAUAUUGGCUUUUAAGGUGGAACAUUUGAGCUGUGGUUUUUCAUCUUUUAGAUUAAAAAUAUAUAGCAUAUUGGAUUUUUAAGGCAUUAAGACUAGAGGAUUGAGGAGCGGAUGGACAUGGUGCAGCUUAAUAUCUAAAAGAAAAUCUAUUUAAGGACAUCAAGAAGAAUAUAGAGUAAACAAAAAUAAAAAAUGAAUAUUUGUGAGUUCUUACCACAACCAUUAGCCAUACCAUGUCUCUGUUUUCAUCUAACAUGAUUUUAAUACAUGGAUUUGAAUGGUUAACAUGUGAAACUUAUUAUCAGACUAACAAAAAAAUUUUGGAGUCCAAAUUAUAGAUGAUUGACGUUCAUGAUUGGCUUGUAGCCACUAAAGGUA
Molecule: long non-coding RNA, 1099 nt
Organism: Lactuca sativa (garden lettuce)
Lineage: Eukaryota; Viridiplantae; Streptophyta; Magnoliopsida; Asterales; Asteraceae
Source: RefSeq, a predicted model, not a curated record